AAAGUCUAAUAUAUAAAGAUAUGUCCAACUCUAAUAGUACGAGGCCUUUUGGGAAGGAAACCAAAAGUAAAUCCAUGCGGGCUAGCCUCCUAGGCCCAAAGUGGACAAUAUCGUACUAAUAAGAUAAGAUAGAGUUGGACACGGGAUUUCACAAUCCCAACAAUUGGUAUCAGAGCCGGUUGACGAGAAAUCUGCAAGAAAGACCUAAAUACCCUUUGAGUGAUGAAUGAGUGAUGAAUGGGUAUCCUAUGAGUUAGGAAUGAGAGG
RNAcentral lists this long non-coding RNA (267 nucleotides) under Brassica rapa (field mustard). RNAcentral's name for it is "long non-coding RNA (BRAP_LNC005742)". The record is from RNAcentral. Lineage: Eukaryota; Viridiplantae; Streptophyta; Magnoliopsida; Brassicales; Brassicaceae.